Molecule: non-coding RNA, 32 nt
Filed under: Mus musculus (house mouse)
Lineage: Eukaryota; Metazoa; Chordata; Mammalia; Rodentia; Muridae
Source: RNAcentral
UAGACUAGGUGCCAAAGCAGAGCAUUAAGGCC